Sander lucioperca (pikeperch) is the source of this 283-nucleotide long non-coding RNA. RefSeq lists it as uncharacterized. The transcript is spliced from 4 exons. Lineage: Eukaryota; Metazoa; Chordata; Actinopteri; Perciformes; Percidae. The record is from RefSeq and is a predicted model, not a curated record.
CAGUUUGCACACAUUAUGAGCAGUUUUUGUGCAGAACUCCUGAGUCGUCAUAGUUCUGUGGAGAUGACGCUUUUAUUCUGAAGGAUCUGUGCAGGAAGUGGUGCUGUUGUUGCAUCAGUACCAAGUAGGAGUGUCUCCAUCUCCGUUAUAUGAGACGUUGUGAUGUUAAAGUGAUGUUUGAUCUUUAGGAGACAUCGACAGAGAUGGAGCUUCUUCCUCUUCUGUGUCUCUGCCUCCUGACUCGCUCUGGAAUCACGUCUGCUGGUGAAAACGAUGCGUUCUU